This 440-nucleotide ribosomal RNA is filed under the name uncultured bacterium. RNAcentral's name for it is "partial 16S ribosomal RNA". It matches the Rfam family "Bacterial small subunit ribosomal RNA", at positions 338 to 795 of the family's 1533-position model. The record is from RNAcentral.
CCUACGGGUGGCAGCAGUGGGGAAUAUUGGGCAAUGGGCGCAAGCCUGACCCAGCAACGCCGCGUGAGUGAAGAAGUCUCUCGGUAUUUAAAGCUCUAUCAGCAGGGAAGAAAAUGACGGUACCUGACUACUACGCCCCGGCUCACUACGUGCCAGCCGCCGCGGUAUUACGUCGCGGGCGAGCGUUAUCCGGAUACACUGGGGGUAAAGGGAGCUUAAACGGCCAUGCAAGAUAGGGGGGAAAGACCGGGGCCCAACCCCGGGAUUGCCCUUGGAACUGAAGGGCUGGAGUGCGGGAGGGGCAGGCGGAAUUCCUGGUGUAGCGGUGAAAUGCGUAGAGAUCAGGAGGAACACCGGAGGCGAAGGCGGCAUGCUGGACCGCGACUGACGUUGAGGCUCGAAAGCGUGGGGAGCGAACAGGAUUAGAUACCCCUGUAGUC